This 72-nucleotide transfer RNA is filed under the name Blattella germanica (German cockroach). RNAcentral describes it as "tRNA-Glu (TTC) (tRNA-Glu-TTC-14-1)". It matches the Rfam family "tRNA". From Rfam's summary of the family: Transfer RNA (tRNA) molecules are approximately 80 nucleotides in length. Their secondary structure includes four short double-helical elements and three loops (D, anti-codon, and T loops). The record is from RNAcentral. Lineage: Eukaryota; Metazoa; Arthropoda; Insecta; Blattodea; Blattellidae.
UCCGGUAUGGUCUAGUGGCUAGGAUACCUGGUUUUCACCCAAGAGGCUCGGGUUUGAUUCCCGGUAUCGGAA